Molecule: unclassified non-coding RNA, 465 nt
Filed under: Hevea brasiliensis (rubber tree)
Lineage: Eukaryota; Viridiplantae; Streptophyta; Magnoliopsida; Malpighiales; Euphorbiaceae
Source: RNAcentral
UCACUGAAUGUGUACAGAAAGGUAAAGGUGGUGUCUUGCCUGAUGAAAUUAAGGGGUUGACUGUAAUUUCUAUUGAAAAAGAAAUUUCUGAUGGGAGUGAAGAAAUGAUCAGCUUGAAGUUUAAGGAAGUGACUGAUGCUGUAGAGCGUUGUACAGGGGAUGGAAUUGUAGUGAAUUAUGGUGAAUUGAAGGUGUUUAUUGAUGAUGGGUCAGUGAGCUAUAUCGUUUCUAAGAUCACAAAAUUGGUGCAACUAAAUUGUGGGAAACUGUGGUUAGUUGGAGCAGCAGCAAGUUAUGACAUUUAUUUGAAGUUCUUGGCUCGGUUUCCUACAAUUCAGAAAGACUGGGAUAUACAUGUGCUGCCUAUUACUUCAUCCACUCUUCCAAUUGGAGGACUAUCUUCCAGAUCCAGCUUGAUGGGGUCAUUUGUUCCUUUUGGUGGGUUUUUUUACCACAUCAUCUGAG